Molecule: non-coding RNA, 241 nt
Filed under: Ligilactobacillus agilis
Lineage: Bacteria; Bacillati; Bacillota; Bacilli; Lactobacillales; Lactobacillaceae
Description: Lactobacillus agilis T-box sequence
Rfam family: T-box leader
About the family: Uncharged tRNA acts as the effector for transcription antitermination of genes in the T-box leader family. T-boxes are found upstream of many aminoacyl-tRNA synthetase genes and some amino acid biosynthetic genes usually in Gram-positive bacteria.
Source: RNAcentral
UAUAAAACAUAGAAAAAGACCAGUAACUUUAUUAUAGAUAACUUACAGAGAGUCCCGGUUGCUGCAAGGGGAUAGUUAUUGAUAAAGCGAAUAUCACUUUGAGUUCCGCGGUGAAAUCAGUAGCUAGCGGUGGGAACAAGCCCAUUACAGCUUGGUGUAGUUAAAACACAGCUACAUUCCGAGGUUGUUAGUGCGAACUAACAGCGAAUAAAAGGUGGUAACACGUCUAGACGUCCUUUAG